Osmerus eperlanus (European smelt) is the source of this 1056-nucleotide long non-coding RNA. RefSeq lists it as uncharacterized. The transcript is spliced from 4 exons. Lineage: Eukaryota; Metazoa; Chordata; Actinopteri; Osmeriformes; Osmeridae. The record is from RefSeq and is a predicted model, not a curated record.
CUCAGGGCUGUCAAGGAAUUUCCUAGGAGAUUAGAAACAGUAAGUCUAUUGUUAUUAAUGCUAGUAAACAGAAAACUCUGUGAAAUCAACAAUGAACUGUCCAAUAUAAUAAUUGGACAGUAAAUUGGACAGUAAAAAUAUUUAUCUCGGAGACAACAUUGAAUGUUGAUUUUUGAAUGAGGAAGGUUCACACAUGCGCAGUGGUUGUAGCAGUAGCACUUUGCUUCUCCCAACUGUCACUGCCGCACAUGGCGCGAAAACCGGAGAAGAAUGGAGGUUUCAGCUGCUCCAGAAGUUAUAGGAUUCAGGAAUUAUACUGACUGAAGAAGAGACAAAGAGAUUCAGAGAUUUACAUUUUCUCACACUCUACAUUGUCACCUGGAGUCAGCUCUGUAACCGUGGCCCCAAGUUUUUGUGAUUUACAUUUUCUCACACUACAUUGUCACCUGGAGUCAGCUCUGUAACCGUGGGCCCAAGUUUUUGUGGAAAUGGCUGAGACCGAUUUCCUCAGUGCCAUGGAGAGAACGACAGUGGGGAUCUAUGUUGUGAAAGACACUGCCAGCAGUGAACCCUCUGAUGUCAGGAUAGUCCUCGAAGGUGUGAUGGUGCUUCAAGAUCUUGAGAAUGUAGCACUUGCUUCUGCAAUGUUGUUUGGGCUCUUAUGCCUUGAACAUGCAGCACCCUACAAAGCUCCGCUACACCUUUGAGGCAUUUCAAAAGAUCAUCAUGGAGCCUCAGCAUCAGACACUUAAUAAUAUGAGCCUGUCAGCUGCAAAAACAGAACUUUUAGUGACACUAACUGACCAUGCACAGUUGCCCUAUAUAACGUUGCAGCCCGGUUCACAGCAAUCUUGCUCAAUGCUGGACCAAUUUUCAUGAAUUAACCACUAGAUAGCCUAAAUUUAUAUUGAUUGGCUGUAAAUGUAGCUGUUUUUUAAGUAUGCUUGUUUUUCCACUGUCCAAUUAACAUUUUUAUAUCUAUAAUUUCUUUAAAUUGACUGAUUAAUACUGUAAAUGUGCUGACAUUCCUUUUUGAUUAAAAGUACAUAUUCAGUA